CCAAUAGCGUAUAUUAAAGUUGCUGCAGUUAAAAAGCUCGUAGUUGAAUUUCGGGACUAAUAUGUCGGUCGUGCCUCGGUACGUACUGGCUUAUUGGUUUCUCCUUUCUGAAGAACCAUGAUGUCAUUUAUUUGGUGUCGUGGGGAAUCAGGACUGUUACUUUGAAAAAAUUAGAGUGUUUAAAGCAGGCUCACGCUUGAAUACAUUAGCAUGGAAUAAUGAAAUAGGACGUUUGAUUCUAUUUUGUUGGUUUCUAGGAUCGACGUAAUGAUUAAUAGGGAUAGUUGGGGGCAUUAGUAUUCAAUUGUCAGAGGUGAAAUUCUUGGAUUUAUUGAAGACUAACUACUGCGAAAGCAUUUGCCAAGGAUGUUUUCAUUAAUCAAGAACGAAAGUUAGGGGAUCGAAGACGAUCAGAUACCGUCGUAGUCUUAACCAUAAACUAUGCCGACUAGGGAUCGGAUGAUGUUAAUUUUUUAAUGACUCAUUCGGCGCCUUACGGGAAACCAAAGUGUUUGGGUC
This 519-nucleotide unclassified non-coding RNA is filed under the name uncultured Glomeromycotina. RNAcentral's name for it is "SSU rRNA". It matches the Rfam family "Eukaryotic small subunit ribosomal RNA", at positions 591 to 1113 of the family's 1831-position model. Lineage: Eukaryota; Fungi; Glomeromycota. The record is from RNAcentral.